GUACCUCACGGAAGCCGGCUUUGGCCCUGCGGCUGCUACCGUCGCCGCGGAGAAAUUGUUGGAUCUGGCAGUCUAGGAAUGAAUCUCCUCUCAGCCUUUAAGCUCACCUGGUCAGAAUCCUUGGAUGAGCCUGUGGGACCGUUCCUCCUAGCCCUGUGGUUUGGAACCAGUGGCUUUGGGACUGUAAGAGGAUGGACAAAGGUAGUAUGAGGCUGGGACAGCUCCCCAAAUGCUCGGGCACCAAGCAUCUGCUGAUUCCACUCUGUGCCUGGCACGUGUGUCUUUCGGUCCUGGCUAGGCCUUGCCACCUCCCCCUGGGCCAGCACCACCCAUGUAUCUGUCGCCAGAGCCACAAUUGACUGACUUGCUGUUGAGCUGCUGCUCUUUAGCAUGGCUGCAUUUUGAUGGCAGAGGGAGCAGUUAUGCCCAGAGCCCAGCGUGUCGGCAUCACCAGUCUGACCUGAGCACCAUGUGCUGCACGACAUGACACGUGGCACCGGGGGAACUGCCCAGCGUGGAAGGUCUGGGCCAGGUCUGAGCCCAGAUGGGAUCUGGAUGGCCAAGGAACUCUACCUUAAAACCUCAAGUGUCAAGGAGGCAGGGGAGGGGCCGAGAGGGCUGGCAGAGGAAGGGGGCUGGGGAGGGGUCCCAUUUGCAGAGGCUCUAGGAUCUUAGGAGGCCCGAAUCUACCAUUUCUCUCUUGCUAGAUUCUCAGGGGCUGCUAGAUUCAUCCCUGAUGGCAUCAGGCACUGCCAGCCGCUCAGAGGAUGAGGAGUCACUGGCAGGGCAGAAGCGAGCCUCCUCUCAGGCCUUGGGCACCAUCCCUAAACGGAGAAGCUCCUCCAGGUUCAUCAAGAGGAAGAAGUUCGAUGAUGAGCUGGUGGAGAGCAGCCUGGCAAAGUCUUCUACCCGGGCGAAGGGGGCCAGUGGAGUGGAACCAGGGCGCUGUUCAGGGAGUGAACCCUCCUCCAGUGAGAAGAAGAA
This 984-nucleotide small RNA is filed under the name Pongo abelii (Sumatran orangutan). RNAcentral's name for it is "retained intron". The record is from RNAcentral. Lineage: Eukaryota; Metazoa; Chordata; Mammalia; Primates; Hominidae.